Molecule: long non-coding RNA, 1199 nt
Organism: Quercus robur (English oak)
Lineage: Eukaryota; Viridiplantae; Streptophyta; Magnoliopsida; Fagales; Fagaceae
Exons: 6
Source: RefSeq, a predicted model, not a curated record
UUUAAUGAAAUUUUACUUAUAAAAAAAGUAGAUUUUAUCAGUUUCAUUUCUUUAGAUUGUAAUUAUUGAACAUUGUACUUUUUUAGGUUAUAUGUCCUGUGUACAAGGGGUGUUCCUCUUACAAAAAAAAUUGCAUAUCAAUUAUAAAUAAAAUGAUGUUGCAUGACAUUCUGUUCGUUCCAUUAUUUAGUGCUAUUUUUUUGAUGGUAUCUUUAUAAUUAUAACUAACUUAUGUUGUGUGAAUAAUAUUUAACAGUGUGACAAUUACUCGUACAUGGAUAGAAACUUCAAUUCCUCGGAAACAUGGACCUGCUAUUGCUAGUUAUGAGUCGGUAUGGUUAUUAAGUUAUAGGAAAUUAUUAUCUCUUAUUUCAAGGCCUUUAUCUCCAAUAUUUCAUUCCAGCAAUUUGACUGAGAAUCUUUUUGUCUUGCAAGAUCUGAAUAAGUUCUUUGAGAAUGUGUUACAGGCUUUCUUGAAGCAUGUUGAUUUUGAUGUUGUCCGCUGUGCUGUGAUUGCAAGUCCUGGUUUCACAAAGGAUCAGUUUCAUCGUCACUUAUUGUUGGAUGCAGAAAGAAGAAAGCUGAGACCUAUUAUCGAGAACAAGUCACAGAUGGUUCUUGUGCAUACAACAUCAGGAUACAAUUGAAAGAAGAAGUAAAGCACCUCAGAAGCAUGCCCGAACAACAAGCUAUUCAAAUGGCAGAACAAAGAAGACAUUUUGAGGAACAACAAGCUAGUCAAAUGGCAGAACAAAGAGCACAUUAUGACAAUAUGAUGAUGCAAAUGUUGAGUUAUAUCACCUCGCAAUCAGCCCAAUCUAGUAGUGAUCACUAAGAUUUUUUCUGCUUCAAGGUUGGAUAUACCCAGUGCUUGGCAAUUGCCGCAGAAACUUGAGGGCACCCAUAAUGGCUGAAAUGUUCAAUUGUACUAGCUGAUAACUUCUUGCUUUGGAGAUGAUGAUGAAGAAUAAAAUGUAUCAAAACUUUUAACUAUUGGACAUAUUUGGUCUUUAUACAAAUUGUGGUUGUUGAUAUCUUUUCUCUUAAAAAAUAAUUGACAUAUUGGCAGUUUGUAUGUGGCCCAUAAUCUGUUAAUUUGUAGGUUUGAGUUUAGAGAUCAAAGAAAGUGUAAUUGUAGCAAUAUAUCACUUUUGCUAUACAUCAAUAUCAUAGCAUAUCAUCUCAACAAUUGUGAAUUU